GAUGAACGCUGGCGGCGUGCCUAAUACAUGCAAGUCGAGCGAACAGACGAGGAGCUUUCUCCUCUGACGUUAGCGGCGGGCGGGUGAGUAACACGUGGAUAACCUACCUAUUAGACUGGGAUAACUUCGGGAAACCGGAGCUAAUACCGGAUAAUAUAUUGAACCGCAUGGUUCAAUAGUGAAAGACGGUUUUGCUGUCACUUAUAGAUGGAUCCGCGCCGCAUUAGCUAGUUGGUAAGGUAACGGCUUACCAAGGCAACGAUGCGUAGCCGACCUGAGAGGGUGAUCGGCCACACUGGAACUGAGACACGGUCCAGACUCCUACGGGAGGCAGCAGUAGGGAAUCUUCCGCAAUGGGCGAAAGCCUGACGGAGCAACGCCGCGUGAGUGAUGAAGGUCUUCGGAUCGUAAAACUCUGUUAUUAGGGAAGAACAAAUGUGUAAGUAACUAUGCACGUCUUGACGGUACCUAAUCAGAAAGCCACGGCUAACUACGUG
This 497-nucleotide ribosomal RNA is filed under the name uncultured bacterium. RNAcentral describes it as "partial 16S ribosomal RNA". It matches the Rfam family "Bacterial small subunit ribosomal RNA", at positions 28 to 507 of the family's 1533-position model. The record is from RNAcentral.